Molecule: ribosomal RNA, 287 nt
Filed under: Meyerozyma sp.
Lineage: Eukaryota; Fungi; Ascomycota; Pichiomycetes; Serinales; Debaryomycetaceae
Description: partial large subunit ribosomal RNA
Rfam family: Eukaryotic large subunit ribosomal RNA
Source: RNAcentral
CAAUUCUAUUUAAGGUGAUUUUGCAGAAAAAAGUUUUUUGGGAAUUCCACUCCUCUUGGGUGGUAAAUUACAUCUAAAAUUAAAAAUUGGCGAGAGGCCUACCACGAACAAGAACUUUGAAAAGAGAGUGAAAAAGUACGUGAAAUUGUUGAAAGGGAAGGGUUUGAGAUCAGACUCCAUAUUUUGUGAGCCUUGCCUUCGUGGCGGGGUGACCCGCAGCUUAUCGGGCCAGCAUCGGUUUGGGCGGUAGGAUAAGGCGUAGGAAAGGACUUUAUUUCGGUGAAGGG